RNAcentral lists this ribosomal RNA (253 nucleotides) under uncultured bacterium. RNAcentral's name for it is "partial 16S ribosomal RNA". It matches the Rfam family "Bacterial small subunit ribosomal RNA", at positions 524 to 776 of the family's 1533-position model. The record is from RNAcentral.
UACAGAGGUCCCAAGCGUUGUUCGGAUUUACUGGGCGUAAAGGGUGCGUAGGCGGUUGGGUAAGUCUGAUGUGAAAUCUCCGAGCUUAACUCGGAAAUGGCAUUGGAUACUAUUCGACUAGAGAGUUGGAGGGGGGACUGGAAUACUUGGUGUAGCAGUGAAAUGCGUAGAUAUCAAGUGGAACACCAGUGGCGAAGGCGAGUCCCUGGACAACUUCUGACGCUGAGGCACGAAAGCUAGGGGAGCAAACAGG